UACGGAGGGUGCAAGCGUUAAUCGGAAUUACUGGGCGUAAAGUGCGCGUAGGCGGUUUUUUAAGCCGGAUGUGAAAGCCCCGGGCUCAACCUGGGAACUGCAUCCGAUACUGGAAGACUAGAAUGCGGGAGAGGGAGGUAGGAUUCCAUGUGUAGCAGUGAAAUGCGUAGAUAUAUGGAGGAAUACCAGUGGCGAAGGCGGCCUCCUGGCUCGACAUUGACGCUGAGGUGCGAAAGCGUGGGGAGCAAACGGG
RNAcentral lists this ribosomal RNA (253 nucleotides) under uncultured bacterium. RNAcentral's name for it is "partial 16S ribosomal RNA". It matches the Rfam family "Bacterial small subunit ribosomal RNA", at positions 524 to 776 of the family's 1533-position model. The record is from RNAcentral.